This is a long non-coding RNA of Oncorhynchus gorbuscha (pink salmon), 245 nucleotides long. RefSeq lists it as uncharacterized. NCBI's taxonomy places the organism in Eukaryota, Metazoa, Chordata, Actinopteri, Salmoniformes, Salmonidae. The transcript has 4 exons. The record is from RefSeq and is a predicted model, not a curated record.
CUCUGGAGAAAAGCCUUUAUAUGUUCCUAGGCUGGAUAACAGCAAACCCAUAGAUAAUGUCCCAAGAGAUAUAAACCUGAAAGACAAGUUCAUAAAGCAUUUCACAGCAGGACCAGUCAAGUUCUCAUCAGAAUGUAGAACACAUUUUCAUAGACUCUAUCACAACACAAGGGAUUGUUCAAGACCAGCAUACUACAAAAGAUGUGCAAGAUUGCUAACACGGCUAGCGAUGAGUCCACUUUGCU